Molecule: long non-coding RNA, 721 nt
Filed under: Rattus norvegicus (Norway rat)
Lineage: Eukaryota; Metazoa; Chordata; Mammalia; Rodentia; Muridae
Description: long non-coding RNA NONRATT031380
Source: RNAcentral
CCAAUGCCAAGGGAUCUGAUGCCCUCUUCUAGCCGCCAAGAGCAUUGCAUAUGGGUGGUGCUCAUAUAUGCACGCUGGCAAAAGCAAUCAGACACGUGAUUCUUUAUUAAAAAGCCGUCAGUGUAGCCCUCGGUCCUGCAGGGGGGGGGGGGGGGGUUGGGGAGGGGGAUGUGGUUGACAGGGACGUAGAUGAAGCUGACAGACUGCAGGGGUAUAGGUGUUUGAAUUGAUCCUCUCUGAUUGUGGAACUGAGAAAGUCCCCAAAAAUAAACUCCCUGAGAAGUCCGACUUCCUUCGGGGUUCUAGGCCAUAAGAUCUUGCAGAGACCAUGUCAGUGGCCCUCGUUUGUGGUUCAUGGUGAGGUGCCCAGUUAGGGAAGCUCUAAAGUUUGACGAUGUGAUACGGUAUUCAAGUCAGGGAUCCUCUUUUUGGAGGAAAAUCCCAAAUACCGAAGAAAAAAAUGUCUUCAAGAGAACGAAAGUAGAACCUCCUGGGGUCCCGUAGGAAGAACAAGGAGGAACCAGGCCCCAUGGGUAAGUCUAAGUCAGAUUGGUCCCUUUCUAUGAAACUCACACAGGAUGAUCCGGACCAGAGUUCACAGCCCCAAGCUGCCAUACUCCUUGGAAAAAGAAUUAGGGGGAAUCUGACACCCUCAGACAGAUGCCUGAGAAGAAAGGCUUUGGGGUUGGGGAUUUGGCUCAGUGGUAGAGCACUUGCCUAG